AAUGACUCUCGGCAACGGAUAUCUCGGCUCUUGCAUCGAUGAAGAACGUAGCGAAAUGCGAUACUUGGUGUGAAUUGCAGAAUCCCGUGAACCAUCGAGUCUUUGAACGCAAGUUGCGCCCGAAGCCAUUAGGUUGAGGGCACGCCUGCCUGGGUGUCACGU
Molecule: ribosomal RNA, 162 nt
Filed under: Vigna marina (notched cowpea)
Lineage: Eukaryota; Viridiplantae; Streptophyta; Magnoliopsida; Fabales; Fabaceae
Description: 5.8S ribosomal RNA
Rfam family: 5.8S ribosomal RNA
About the family: 5.8S ribosomal RNA (5.8S rRNA) is a component of the large subunit of the eukaryotic ribosome. It is transcribed by RNA polymerase I as part of the 45S precursor that also contains 18S and 28S rRNA.
Source: RNAcentral